Molecule: ribosomal RNA, 467 nt
Filed under: uncultured bacterium
Lineage: Bacteria
Description: partial 16S ribosomal RNA
Rfam family: Bacterial small subunit ribosomal RNA
Source: RNAcentral
GACGAACGCUGGCGGCGUGCUUAACACAUGCAAGUCGAACGGAAAGGCCCUGCUUUUGUGGGGUGCUCGAGUGGCGAACGGGUGAGUAACACGUGAGUAACCUACCCUUGACUUUGGGAUAACUUCAGGAAACUGGGGCUAAUACCGGAUAGGAGCUCCUGCUGCAUGGUGGGGGUUGGAAAGUUUCGGCGGUUGGGGAUGGACUCGCGGCUUAUCAGCUUGUUGGUGGGGUAGUGGCUUACCAAGGCUUUGACGGGUAGCCGGCCUGAGAGGGUGACCGGCCACAUUGGGAAUGAGAUACGGCCCAGACUCCUACGGGAGGCAGCAGUGGGGAAUAUUGCACAAUGGGCGGAAGCCUGAUGCAGCAACGCCGCGUGCGGGAUGACGGCCUUCGGGUUGUAAACCGCUUUCGCCUGUGACGAAGCGUGAGUGACGGUAAUGGGUAAAGAAGCACCGGCUAACUACGU